RNAcentral lists this ribosomal RNA (460 nucleotides) under uncultured bacterium. Its description in RNAcentral is "partial 16S ribosomal RNA". It matches the Rfam family "Bacterial small subunit ribosomal RNA", at positions 338 to 795 of the family's 1533-position model. The record is from RNAcentral.
CCUACGGGGUGCUGCAGUGAGGAAUAUUGGUCAAUGGACGAGAGUCUGAACCAGCCAAGUAGCGUGAAGGAUGACUGCCCUAUGGGUUGUAAACUUCUUUUAUAUGGGAAUAAUAUGUUCCACGUGUGGGAUUUUGUAUGUACCAUAUGAAUAAGGAUCGGCUAACUCCGUGCCAGCAGCCGCGGUAAUACGGAGGAUCCGAGCGUUAUCCGGAUUUAUUGGGUUUAAAGGGAGCGUAGGUGGAUUGUUAAGUCAGUUGUGAAAGUUUGCGGCUCAACCGUAAAAUUGCAGUUGAAACUGGCAGUCUUGAGUACAGUAGAGGUGGGCGGAAUUCGUGGUGUAGCGGUGAAAUGCUUAGAUAUCACGAAGAACUCCGAUUGCGAAGGCAGUUCACUGGACUGCAACUGACACUGAGGCUCGAAAGUGUGGGUAUCAAACAGGAUUAGAUACCCUUGUAGUC